UACAGAGGGGGCAAACGUUAUUCGGAAUUAUUGGGCGUAAAGGGCGCGUAGGCGGCUUGGCAAGUGGAUGGUGAAAUCCCUCGGCUUAACCGAGGAACUGCCGUCCAAACUGCUUCGCUUGAGACCGGGAGAGGUGAGUGGAAUUCCCAGUGUAGCGGUGAAAUGCGUAGAUAUUGGGAGGAACACCAGUGGCGAAGGCGGCUCACUGGACCGGUACUGACGCUGAUGCGCGAAAGCGUGGGGAGCAAACGGG
This 253-nucleotide ribosomal RNA is filed under the name uncultured bacterium. RNAcentral describes it as "partial 16S ribosomal RNA". It matches the Rfam family "Bacterial small subunit ribosomal RNA", at positions 524 to 776 of the family's 1533-position model. The record is from RNAcentral.